UUCCCACAGCCCCACCAGGAAGCAACGUGCCUGCAGCCCUGAGCCGGAUGACCUGGGGACCAGCAGGGCAGCCAUGGUGAGGAGAGUGAGGAUGCGGGGGCCGCUCCUGCCAAGAAGGCCCCGGCCAGAUAAGACAAGCCCAAGACGCUGCCCUUCUUGCUGCUGGGCAGUUGGUCAGUAUCCAGAGCAACGAGGCUGUGGCCCUACUCAAGACUCAUGGCCUGUAACAUGUCCAUGGGCUUUGGUGAGAGUUGGAAGAAGCACCUCAAUGGAAUUCGGGAAACGUUAUUUUAUCAAGAUAAAAGGAUUUGUCGCAGAAGAAAGGAAACAUUACACUGUUUAUCCACCCCCACACUAAGUCUUCACCUGGACCCAGAUGUGUGACAUAAGAGAUGUGAAGGUUGUCAUCCCAGGACAGGACCCAUAUUAGAGACCGAAUCAAGUUCAUGGGCUGCUUUAGUGUUCAAAGACCUGUUCCACCUCUGCCUGGUUUGGAAAACAUUUAUAAAGAGCCAUCUACAGAUAUGGUUUUAUUCAUCCUGGUCAUGGAGAUUUAUCUGGGUGGGCCAAAUAAGGUGUUCUCCUACUCCAGGCUGUCCUCACUGUUCUGCCCCAUCAAGCCAAUUUUCAUAAGGAAAGAGGAGGCUGGGAGCAAUUUACCAAUGCGGUUGUGUCCUGGCUAAAUCAGAACUCGAAUGGCCUUGUCUUUCUGCUCUGGGGCUGUUAUGCUAAGAAGAAGGGCAGUGCCAUCCACAGGAAGCAGCACCAUGUGCUGCAGAUGGCUCAUUCCUUCCCGUGUACAGAGGGUUCUUUGGAUGUAGACAAUUUUCUAAGACCAAUGAGCUCCUGCAGAUGUCUAGCAAGAAGCCCACUGACUGGAAGGAGCUAUGA
Molecule: long non-coding RNA, 891 nt
Filed under: Homo sapiens (human)
Lineage: Eukaryota; Metazoa; Chordata; Mammalia; Primates; Hominidae
Description: non-protein coding lnc-AFF1-2:1
Source: RNAcentral